Molecule: non-coding RNA, 24 nt
Filed under: Arabidopsis thaliana (thale cress)
Lineage: Eukaryota; Viridiplantae; Streptophyta; Magnoliopsida; Brassicales; Brassicaceae
Source: RNAcentral
AUAAACGAUUCUAUCACGUGCAAU